Molecule: ribosomal RNA, 492 nt
Filed under: uncultured bacterium
Lineage: Bacteria
Description: partial 16S ribosomal RNA
Rfam family: Bacterial small subunit ribosomal RNA
Source: RNAcentral
AUUGAACGCUGGCGGUAGGCCUAACACAUGCAAGUCGAACGGCAGCACAGUAAGAGCUUGCGCUUACGGGUGGCGAGUGGCGGGCGGGUGAGGAGUACAUCGGAAUCUACGUUGUCGGGGGGGAACACGUAGGGAAGGUUACGCUAAUACCGCAUACGACCUACGGGUGAGAGCAGGGGAUCUUCGGACCUUGCGAGAGUGAAUGAGCAGAUGGCGGAUUCGCGAGGGGGGGGGGUAGAGUCCCACCAACGCGGGGCUCCCUAGGUGGUCUGAGAGGGUGUUCAGCCACACUGUAACUGUGACACGCUCCAGACUCCUACGGGAGGCACCAGUGUGGAAUAUUGGACAAUGGGCGCAAGCCUGAUCCAGCCAUACCGCGUGGGUGAAGAAGGCCUUCGGGUUUUAAAGCCCUUUUGUUGGGAAAGAAAAGCAGCAGGUUAUUACCCCGCUGUUCUGACGGUACCCAAAGAAUAAGCACCGGCUAACUUCGUG